This is a long non-coding RNA of Oncorhynchus gorbuscha (pink salmon), 189 nucleotides long. RefSeq lists it as uncharacterized. The record is from RefSeq and is a predicted model, not a curated record. Lineage: Eukaryota; Metazoa; Chordata; Actinopteri; Salmoniformes; Salmonidae. The transcript has 3 exons.
GUUGUGUUAAACAGGUCCUCUCAGAGAGGUAGUAGGAGGAUGUUGUGUUAAACAGGUCCUCUCAGAGAGGUAGUAGGAGGAUGUUGUGUUGAACAGGUCCUCUCAGAGAGGUAGUAGGAGGAUGUUGUGUUAAACAGGUCCUCUCAGAGAGGUAGUAGGAGGAUGUUGUGUUAAACAGGUCCUCUCAGA